AUUGAACGCUGGCGGCAUGCCUUACACAUGCAAGUCGAACGGCAGCACGGGUGCUUGCACCUGGUGGCGAGUGGCGAACGGGUGAGUAAUACAUCGGAACAUGUCCUGUAGUGGGGGAUAGCCCGGCGAAAGCCGGAUUCAUACCGCAUACGAUCUACGGAUGAAAGCGGGGGACCUUCGGGCCUCGCGCUAUAGGGUUGGCCGAUGGCUGAUUAGCUAGUUGGUGGGGUAAAGGCCUACCAAGGCGACGAUCAGUAGCUGGUCUGAGAGGACGACCAGCCACACUGGGACUGAGACACGGCCCAGACUCCUACGGGAGGCAGCAGUGGGGAAUUUUGGACAAUGGGCGAAAGCCUGAUCCAGCAAUGCCGCGUGUGUGAAGAAGGCCUUCGGGUUGUAAAGCACUUUUGUCCGGAAAGAAAUCCUUGGCCCUAAUACGGUCGGGGGAUGACGGUACCGGAAGAAUAAGCACCGGCUAAGUACGUG
RNAcentral lists this ribosomal RNA (486 nucleotides) under uncultured bacterium. Its description in RNAcentral is "partial 16S ribosomal RNA". It matches the Rfam family "Bacterial small subunit ribosomal RNA", at positions 30 to 507 of the family's 1533-position model. The record is from RNAcentral.